GUCAAUGGAGAAGAUCAAAGAUUUGGGGGCCACCCAGCCCUGAUCUGGGGCCCCAGCAGGCUGUGUGCACCACGGCCGGGACUCCUCUCCUCCUCAUGCCUCUCUCUCCCUGCACAGGUUCCCUCUCCCGGCCAGUGCUGACUCAGCCACCUUGCCUCUGCAUCACCUGGAGCAUAUGCCAGACUCACCUGCACUGCCAGCAGUGACAUCAGUGUUGGUGGAUACAGGAUAUUCUGGACCAGCCAAAGCCAGGGAGCCCCCAGGCUCCUGCUUCCAAGCUGUGCUCACACAUCCAUCUGUGGUGUCGGGUCAGGUCUCAGGAACAGGAUCAUCCACAGCAGAGAAAGCAGCACCUUGAGAUGAUCAGUGUGGCCUGGCGACAACAGCAUCCAGGCAGAAGCCCUAGAAACGUGGACCCAGGUGUUCUUUUCUCACAGCAUCUGAGACAGACCCUCUGGCUUCAGGUCUGGCAGGAAAGCUUCCUGAGGGUCUCUUAGAUCCUGUCCUAGGACGGGGUUGGCCACUGGGACCAGACAUGAGAUGAUCUUGACACAGUGUCCAGAUCUGUGAGGAAUCACGAUGCAGCCCCUCCCCCUCCCCCUGUGAGCCCGUCACUCUCUGGUCACUUCCUCAUCUGAGUCUACAUCCGGGUGACUCUGCCGUUCAUCUGCUGCCAUCCCUGAAUGUCUGGAGACUUUGUGGGAGCUGCGGCUCUGAGGAUGGCUGCGCCAUUCCUGACAGCCUGUUCACACCCUCAUCACUGCUGCACAGACAGAAGCUUUAUUUUCAGGGCACAAAUUCUCUCUAGAUAAUUGAUGGAAGAGUCAACAGAAGGGUGAUGCCAAUGUGUCCAGCCGAGUUAAGAACCUGCCAGUAUCUGACCACAAGGAACCCAUGUAAUCCAAUCCCAGAUCUUUGUCAGAAACCCAAAAUAUGCCUCUAUUUUCCUGUUUUACCCAAUCCCAGGAUGGUGGCCCUCUUCCUGUCCUCUUGAGGCCAGAGAGCAGUAACUUCCAUCCUGAUCCCCUGGGCCUGACCCUCAGCUCUGUGCAUCUUGCUCCCUGGGGGCUCCCUGCCCUCAGACCCCAGGCUCCCUUGUGAGGACUGACCUUCCUGCAUGAACAGGAACCCAGGGGCAAGGCUGCUCCGAGAGUCACAGGACCCACUUGGGUGGAGGGGAAGAGGGUACCUUGACACCUGUGUGUCCACAUCCUCGGGACAGUUUGUGUCCCUGACCUCAGGACUGUGUCAAGACUGCAAACAUGUGUUUCUCUAGCCAGAUCAGGAGAAAUCGGUGAGAGUUUAUCAAGGCAAAGAAGAGACCACUGUUCAUCAUUUAUCACUCAAUGAAGGCACAGGCCUUAGGUCUGUCAGCUCUCUGGAAGAUUCUGGAAAUGGAAAAGAAGACUCCACAGCUGGUGUUGGAAAUCAAACACAGAAUUAGUGGAUGUAAAGGUUUACCAUAAGCCAAGAGAGACAGAAGUGGGACUCAAUCGUGAGAGAGUGAAAUGAGUGGAUUUGUUUCAAAACCAUCCUUUUUUGGCUCCUUUCUCAUUGCAAAGGUUUAAGUAGAAAAACACAGAUGACGUUUUCAAUAAACGCUUAAGAAGAUGACAAUUAAAUUCAUCUCCAUGCCUGCCUUUGUAAAAAUAAAUAUAGAAAUAAAGCAAUAAGGACUACUUCCUCAAUGGCUUAAGGAUGGUGUAUCUUUAAACCAGAGAAAAGCAUUAUCCCAGAACAGAGAAGACUAGAAUUGUUCCAUUUCGGUCUUGGACCAUACGUGAUGACUACCGACACAGCUCUUCUGAAAGGUUUACCCUGAGAUUUGUGUCAAGUCAAGAAUAGAAAAAAAGAGAAAACAUUUAAAUAUGAAGAGUUAGAUUUUAAUUAUGAAAGCUAUAAGUAUGUACCUAGAAGUCUAGAGAUUGUACUGAAAAUUAAUUAGGAUGAAUGAAAAAAUUAUCUGAGUCACAAUGAAUAAACAUAGUAUCUCAUGUUAAAAGUAUGUAAUCUAAAAUGUAGUUCAAAAUGUAUAUGAUUCUGUUUCCAGUAUAAAAAAUUAAAAAUUUGACCAUAUCUGUAGAAAAACAAUUACAAAUUUCA
Equus asinus (donkey) is the source of this 2103-nucleotide long non-coding RNA. The record is from Ensembl. NCBI's taxonomy places the organism in Eukaryota, Metazoa, Chordata, Mammalia, Perissodactyla, Equidae.